UGGGGACUGGCCCAGCAUUUUAAACUUAAUCCAGGCCAUGGCCAGCUGGACCCUGAGAUGGUGCUAUCUGAGAAAGCCAAUGGGAGCAACCUCCGGGGGUGCACAGAGGAAAGGACGCUCAGCCUAACCUUCCCGGGGCUGUCCAUGCCAGCAGCUCCGCGUGAGGGAGGGGCCCGCUCCUGCUUGGUGAGAGAGUCAGCACGCGGUGGCCUGCAGGUGAACUGUCACCCCUACAACUCAGCUUGCAACCAGCCCUGGCCACCACCAGUUUCCCCACACUGAGCUGAAUAUUGGACAUGCCCAUCUUAGGCAUUCCAGCCCAUUCUGAAAUUCCACAUCGAUUCACCCGACAAAGUCUGAAGUUCCAGGGCAAUUUAUCUGGAAAAGCUCACCUGGAAUCACGUGUCAUUUCAACCAACAACUGUUGAAGAGGACGUGGCAUUAAAACCAAGGGUAUCAAUUAUUUAUAAGGGCUGUGUGCUGGUUGGUCCAAGCAUCUCUCCUUCAUGCCAUCACUCCUUUCAAGAGCUGCCUCUGUUUUCUAAUUUAGCACAGGAAUUUAGAUGCCCCUAAAUAAGUAGGCAUCCAGUAUCUGCCCACACCAGUUUUUGUAAGAGUACAUAUGGAGACACUGCCACCACCCCUGCUCUCCUACUGCAUACCCCACCAUGCCAAAGCAUGGUGGCUCACACCUGUAAUCCCAGUGCUUUGGGAGGCCAAAGAGGAGGAACACUUGAGAUCAGAGGUCUGAGACGAGCCUGGGCAACAUAGUGAAACCUCAUUUCUACAAAUAAG
This 795-nucleotide long non-coding RNA is filed under the name Pan troglodytes (chimpanzee). Its description in RNAcentral is "lincRNA". The record is from RNAcentral. Lineage: Eukaryota; Metazoa; Chordata; Mammalia; Primates; Hominidae.